GAUUGGCUCAGGACGAACGCUGGCGGCGCGCCUAACACAUGCAAGUCGAACGAGAGAGAAGGAGCUUGCUUCUUCGAUCGAGUGGCGAACGGGUGAGUAACGCGUGAGGAACCUGCCUCAAAGAGGGGGACAACAGUUGGAAACGGACUGCUAAUACCGCAUAACGCCCACGGGUCGGCAUCGACCUGAGGGAAAAGGAGCAAUCCGCUUUGAGAUGGUCCUCGCGUCCGAUUAGCUAGUUGGUGAGG
Molecule: ribosomal RNA, 248 nt
Filed under: uncultured bacterium
Lineage: Bacteria
Description: partial 16S ribosomal RNA
Rfam family: Bacterial small subunit ribosomal RNA
Source: RNAcentral